GGAUUAUUCAAGAAAGUUAAAUGUCUAUAUAUGCAAUUUAAAAAUCGACUCUCAUCAAAGUUAAAAGUAGAGAAAUGUUCCAAAAAAAUGUAAAAUUGUCUAAAUCUUUUAUCUAACAAAGUAGAAUUUAACUCGCGGUACACUGCAUGAAAAUUUAUUUCUUAAAGUUAGUAUAUAUCAAAGUUUCCAAAUUGUAUAUUUAAAUAUUUUAUAAUUGUUAUUAAGUUACGGUAUACCAUGAGUCCACGGAACAAUUAUUAAUAAAGUGAGAAUUUAAUCCAUAUUAAAUGAUAUUUUAAAAUUUUAUAAAUAUUGAUUCAAAACUGUCUGAUAUAUAUCCCUGACCUGAAAUAUAACCAUUCCCGUAAUUUCUUAACUCGUUCCUUGAUUUCUUUUCUAAAAGUAU
RNAcentral lists this small RNA (406 nucleotides) under Arabidopsis thaliana (thale cress). RNAcentral's name for it is "ATSL216860". The record is from RNAcentral. Lineage: Eukaryota; Viridiplantae; Streptophyta; Magnoliopsida; Brassicales; Brassicaceae.